GGACUACUGGGGUAUCUAAUCCUGUUUGCUACCCACGCUUUCGAGCAUGAACGUCAGUGUUAUCCCAGGAGGCUGCCUUCGCCAUCGGUAUUCCUCCACAUCUCUACGCAUUUCACUGCUACACGUGGAAUUCUACCUCCCUCUGACACACUCUAGUCACCCAGUUCAGAACGCAGUUCCCAGGUUGAGCCCGGGGAUUUCACAUCCUGCUUAAGUAACCGUCUGCGCUCGCUUUACGCCCAGUAAUUCCGAUUAACGCUCGCACCCUACGUAUUACCGCGGCUGCUGGCACU
This 293-nucleotide unclassified non-coding RNA is filed under the name uncultured Gammaproteobacteria bacterium. RNAcentral's name for it is "contains 16S-23S intergenic spacer region". The record is from RNAcentral. Lineage: Bacteria; Pseudomonadati; Pseudomonadota; Gammaproteobacteria.